Molecule: unclassified non-coding RNA, 3905 nt
Filed under: Hevea brasiliensis (rubber tree)
Lineage: Eukaryota; Viridiplantae; Streptophyta; Magnoliopsida; Malpighiales; Euphorbiaceae
Source: RNAcentral
UGCCAGCAUCACUGUACCUUGUAACAUAAAGGAACAAAAUUUCAGAAUAACAUUGGAAUCAUACCAUCAUGGAUGCUAGUCCUCUAGAAAUUAGAAUAGAAAUGACUCUGAGUGUAAAAUGAUAGAAGACAAUUUAGAAUAGAAAUUCCAUUUCGAGCAACUAUUCUCAGAUUAACAACAAAAAUAGAUACAUUCAAUAAUACAAUGAGAUCUUUUGACAUAAAUAAAACUAACUAUAAAUCAGGAUGCAAGGAUGUGAUUCUGCACAUCCACGAGUUAACUAACCGUUCACCUGUGACGGAAUUUUGGGCGAACAGAAAUUACACCUGGCCUUGCUUCAUCAAAGUGAUAUCUGUCAAAUAUUGUUACAGAUAAAUAAAACAUACAGCAAAGUAAUUUUCUUAGUUCAAUCCUGAAAGAAAUAUUAAAUAAGACAUUAUAUUCAAUUAAUGUAUGCAUAAUAAAUAAUAAACAAAAAGUAGAAGGGAAAUGUUUCACCUGUUUUCACUAAGGAAACUUCUCACUGCUGUUGGGAGUGCAGCUUGACCUCGACUGUGAUUGCCUACACCUACAAGAAAAAAGCACACAUUCUGACCUCUAAAUAGCUGUCUGAUUUGGAUCUACAACUGUCGCUCACUUCCAAUUUCUACUACUGCUCAGCCACUAUGAUAGUACAAUGAAAAAGUUGGAGAGGCGCAGAAACCAUUAGAUGAAACUAAAUAUUUAAACAAAUCUGAUGCUGAUGCAUUGGUUGCACGUAAAGCAUUGAAAAUAGGCACCAUGCAACUGCACCCGAGUGAAUCACCUUGUCUAGGGGCUAGAAGUGUAUUAGGCCAUUAGUCCCAGGUCGUUGGGCCUUUCACCUUGUUAAAAUACAACAUUGGUUUGGGAUAACGGUAAUAUGCCACUUAUAUAACUUUAGGCACCCCUCUUCCCUUGAGGUAGCUUUUGGAGGUGAGUUAGGCCCGGCUCAUUUUCUUAAGAUGGUAUCAAAACCUCUAUAACCAAUAUUUGGAACUCCCAUGAGUAUUUCACACUCCAAGUGUGGGUCCUAAGCAUGAGGGAGGUGUGUUAAGAUCUCACAUUGAUUUGGGAUAGGAGUAAUGUGCCCUUUAUAUGACCUUAGGCACUCCUCCCCCUUUGAGAUAGCUUUUGGGGGUGAGUUAAGCCCGACCCAUUUUCUUAAGACACCUAAGGUGUGCUUUUAACAAUACUGCUUGGCCCCAGCAACUAUAAACAUAUAAUACUUCAUACCACAUGCAUAUACAAUUAUAUUCUUGUAUGAAGCUAAAGUACCUGUAAUUACUUGUAAUGAUGUUGUUCUCUGCCUAAAUCCUGUUUGUUGUUUAUCCAAGUUCUCCACGCCUGUGCUAAUAAAGGGCUCAAGUGAUGAAUUCGCAAUACCAUUCUUUGUCUUGAAUCUACCUGGUGAUACUGGUUGAUUCUUUAGGAGGAUCUCAAUUUUGUUCAGAUGUUCUUGCAAGGCUUUAACAGCCUCUGCUGCAUGAAGACCAUGCAAAUCCAACUUCAAUGGAUUAUUUUCACUAUUUCUUAUACUCAAAAUUUCCUUAGCUGCCUUAGCAUUGAGUCUUUCAGCAUCCAACCAUUCUUUACGAGCCUUCAAUGAGUGCUGUUGGGCAGAAAAAUGAUCUCCUCUCAGAAAGGCAUUAGUGGCUGCCCUGGAGUGCCGAGCUGCCAACCUCAUCAUCCUUAGUGCAGUUCCUCGAUGGCUCAAGUAAACAUCAUGCUCUUCCCACUCAGGCUCGACAGGUAAAGAUCUCAAGUGCCCCAGAAUUAGUUUCAUGUUUGCAGCAGCAGCCUCGGAGAGCUUAUGUCCACAAGCUGUACGCACAUACUUCAAUUGUUUGUGAUUAUCUUUGAGAGCAUUCUCCAGAGUAGAGCUUAGAUCAGCUAUGUCUGCAGCAAGGUCUGAGGUCUGUCCUAACAAAGCAAUCUCGUUUUCCCCUUUGUCACAUCGAAAAUCUUUGCAAUUAGAUAAAUAUUUUGCUUCUCCAUUCUCCUCAGAGUUGUCGGUAGAAAUCAUCUCUUCUAACAAAAUUGUGGCCUUAUCAAUAUCACUAUUCACAUUGGCCAUGACAUCCUCGAUCAAACUUUUGUCAGCCCAGCUGUAAAGUUCUUUGAGAUGUUUGAACGUAAGAUCAGGAUUCUUCUCCUCAAGAACCUCAACUAAACCAGAAUCACUAACUGAUGUCCUUUUAUUGCAAUUACCAUUCUCUGUUAUUGGUGGAAAAUCAGCAGAAGGUAGUAAUACAGAUGAGAAAGACCCUGAAGAAAAACCAUUAUUGUUCAGUAGGUUUCCACUUGGAUGAAGAGACGUGGUGCUAGUGGUUGGCAGGGGUGGAAAAGGAUCAUUGCCGACUUGUUGAAGUUGAAGACCUUGUUUCUGACGCUGCUUGAGGUCAAAGGCAGCCCAACCUGGGGACUUACCUCUCGACUGUGACUUUUUGGCAGAGGGCAGGCUCGCAUUAGCAUUCAUGUUGUCUCAAAGCAUGCCCUUCCUUCAAUGAAAAGCCUUAGCACCACCUCGAAUUGUUCAGGUAAUGAUAAUAGGUAAAAAGACCUAAAACUUCCAUUCCACAGCUAACAAAAACUGAAUCAUUGAGCUCUUUUUUAGAAAGGCAGCGACAAUUAAACACAACAGGCACAAUGCUAACCCUAGAUAAGCUAAACACGAUAAAAAAAAAAAUCAAUUAAGUGAAGCAACAAAUAAAAAAUAAAAAGAGGAAAUAACUGAUACCUCAAUCUUAAUCGGAAAGAGACUGGGAUUAUAUUAAAUUGAAACUAUUCAGGAAGAUAAAAACGUAACCAAGACGCCAAUCGAUCGAACGGAUGAGAUAGAAAGGCAAAACCAAAAUUACAAUAAAAACCCAAAUUUGAUCCAAACGGAGACUUCUUCGACGGUGAUGAAGACGAUGACACUCUGCAUCUCAUAUCCAUAAAUCCCUAUCCAGCUUUUCUUUUUCUCUUGCUGAGGAAAAGAAGAGAAAACAAGGGAAAUUUAAUUAAACUGAAUAAAACUGCGGCUGAGAAGAUCGUUGACUUGUUGUCCGCCACCUGCAGUCAGUAAAAUAAAGAUAAGUCCCCUCAGCCACGAUUCGCACCAGGCUUUAAAUUGUACCAUAAUUGGUCGGUUCGGUUAGGAAGUACUAAAUGGACCGAAUCGAACCGAACGGUUCGGUUAAUCGGUUUCAGAAUGUAAAGACUAAAUAAAUGCGUGAUUCAAAACCAGUUGAACAAAAAUUGAAAGCAGAGUCUCAAAAUGGAAAGAAAUUGAAAGUAGAGUUCUCAGGAAGCAAAGAAAUUGAAACAAACACAAACGAGCUGCACAGAAGCCACAAAAUCACAAAAUGCAAAAAAUUCAGCUUCAAUUAAAAUUUGCAACACUCAAACAAUCACAGAAAUGAGAACAACACUCAAUUGCAUUUUGCAAUAAAACAACCCAAAAACUCAAUCAAUCACAGAACUCAAUCAAUCAUUGAAGAGUGAAUACUGAACAAUAUUUGCCACUAGAUUCACAAGAAAAGGGUCUCUGAUAGCAUGGAGGUAAGCAUCAAUGUUCUGAGCAACAGCUACCGAACCGGUGGCUUACAGUGGUGCGAGGAUGCUUUGGGCUCUAAAGUGAGACGUGCGAUGCUGACAAUCAUGAGACGCGAUACAUGCAAUCAUGAGACUCUGAGGGAUUUCGAAUUUUAGAAUGAGAGGAGAACUGGAGAAUGGAGAUGAGAGGGACGGAUCGACGAGGUCUAGAAAGGAUGGAUCUGCAAUGAGCCAUAUGGUUCUGCGAGGAGGAGCGAGGAAAGUGAUGACAAGGCGAGAUGGAGAGCUGGGCCAUGCAGGAUGGGAGAAGAGUGAAAAGCCGAUAACUGGAGAGAGAGGCUGUGUAC